UGUGUGCGUGCAGCAGAUGGUAAAAUACUGACGUGUGUUACAGCAAAUCCUCAAUCACAUUCUGGACGACAUCGAACACUUCGUCACCAAACUGCAGAAAGCCGCCGAGGCCUUUAACGAGCUCUCAAAGCGCAAGAAAACCAAGAAGAGCAAAAAGAAAGGACCCGGAGAGGGAGUUUUGACGCUGAGAGCUAAACCUCCGUCUCAGGACGAGUUUAUCGACUGCUUCCAGAAGUUCAAACACGCCUUCAACCUGCUGGGGAAGUUGAAGAACCACAUUCAGAACCCCAGCGCUGUGGAUCUGGUCCACUUCCUGUUCAAUCCUCUUAGACUGGUG
Sinocyclocheilus anshuiensis is the source of this 337-nucleotide long non-coding RNA. RefSeq lists it as uncharacterized. NCBI's taxonomy places the organism in Eukaryota, Metazoa, Chordata, Actinopteri, Cypriniformes, Cyprinidae. The transcript is spliced from 3 exons. The record is from RefSeq and is a predicted model, not a curated record.